UACGAAGAGGGCUAGCGUUGUUCGGAGUUACUGGGCGUAAAGGGCGCGUAGGCGGCGCACCAAGUCAGGCGUGAAAGCCCUGGGCUCAACCCGGGAAUUGCGCUUGAGACUGGUGUGCUCGAGUACGGGAGAGGAUAGUGGAAUUCCCAGUGUAGAGGUGAAAUUCGUAGAUAUCGGGAGGAACACCAGUGGCGAAGGCGGCGACCUGGACGGACAUUGACGCUGAGACGCGAAAGCGUGGGGAGCAAACAGC
This 253-nucleotide ribosomal RNA is filed under the name uncultured bacterium. RNAcentral's name for it is "partial 16S ribosomal RNA". It matches the Rfam family "Bacterial small subunit ribosomal RNA", at positions 524 to 776 of the family's 1533-position model. The record is from RNAcentral.